Molecule: long non-coding RNA, 417 nt
Filed under: Medicago truncatula (barrel medic)
Lineage: Eukaryota; Viridiplantae; Streptophyta; Magnoliopsida; Fabales; Fabaceae
Description: lncRNA gene13611
Source: RNAcentral
UUCACGACCAUAAAUAAAUGGUAACUAUAAAAGAUUUUAGCAAAAUAUAUAUUUGUUAUUUCUUAUUGCAAGUGUAAGAACUCAGUCUUCCAUGCAUGGUGUCAUUGUAAUAUUCUGAGUAUGAGACUCAUACUAUCCGUAGGACACAAAAGACAGAUUACAUUUGCCAUUAAUGCACCUAUACCUUUGAACUAGCGUAUUUGGUGGGCAAUCAUUAUCAGUUAUACAAAAAAUAUCAUCUGUAGUGAAAGAAUAUAAUAAACUAAUGUUAUAAAAAUGAAUAAUAAUUAUAUAUGAACUACAAACUAAAGAAGGUAAUUUGAAAAGGAUGAAAAAAAAAAAAAAAAAAAAAACAUUACCCUCAAUAUUAUUUGCGAUAAGAAAUAGGAAAAUAAAUAAAGUUAUAGCAUACACAAG